GACCAGACACAUGUCAACACCCGUUUGGUGGGUACAAAUUCCUAUAUGGCUCCAGAGUAUGUCAUGCGUGGGCAUUUAUCAGUGAAGGCAGAUAUAUUUAGCUUUGGCGUUGUGGUUCUGGAGCUUAUCAGUGGCCAGAGGAAUUCAACAUUUAGCCAAUCAGUUGAGGCUCAGAAUCUACUUGAUUGGGCAUAUAAGCUCCAUAAAAAGGAUAGGAGUCUGGAGUUGAUGGAUCCAACAUUAACGUCGUCAGCAGACAAUGGCCAAGUAAAAAUGUGCAUUCAUAUAGGGCUACUAUGCGUACAAGGCGAUCCACAGUUACGGCCAAAUAUGCGACGCGUAGUCAUCAUGUUAUCGAAGAAACCCGGCAAUCUAGAAGAACCAACUAGGCCUUUGGUAACCGGUUCCAGAUAUAGAAGAUCUCACCAGCCGCCAGGAAUGUCAUCCACUGCAGGAACGUUCAGUGAUUCUGAUUCUCGGACCUUUGAUUCGAGCUUAAACACUAAUACAGCUACAGCAUCUAGCUCAACUCGUACCAGCCCAAG
This 545-nucleotide unclassified non-coding RNA is filed under the name Hevea brasiliensis (rubber tree). Lineage: Eukaryota; Viridiplantae; Streptophyta; Magnoliopsida; Malpighiales; Euphorbiaceae. The record is from RNAcentral.